CUACACUGGAGCAUGUUGCUGGACUGCACUCCUCUUUUCAACCAGUCACAGAACCUUCCACAACAUCUACCCGUCCCACUUCUACAGUCUCUUUACAGCCGGUCACUUCCACAACAUCUACCAGUCCCACUCCUACAGUCUCUUUACAGC
Molecule: long non-coding RNA, 150 nt
Organism: Carassius gibelio (silver crucian carp)
Lineage: Eukaryota; Metazoa; Chordata; Actinopteri; Cypriniformes; Cyprinidae
Exons: 4
Source: RefSeq, a predicted model, not a curated record